This is a long non-coding RNA of Vitis riparia (riverbank grape), 645 nucleotides long. RefSeq lists it as uncharacterized. Lineage: Eukaryota; Viridiplantae; Streptophyta; Magnoliopsida; Vitales; Vitaceae. The transcript has 2 exons. The record is from RefSeq and is a predicted model, not a curated record.
AUAAACACAUGCCACUCACGUGGCUUUUAAAUACAAACUGAAAAACACCCAAACAUCCAAAACCCAACGGAAGAGAAGAGAAGAGAACCAGUCUAGGUCUGGCAGAGAGAGAGAGAGAGAGAGAGAGAGAGACUGCACGCCGUUCAUAGCCACUGCCAAGCUUCUCUCUACCGUCUCGCCGCCCUUGUCCCGGCGGCUCCUUGGUGGUUCCGCCGCACUGUUCAAUCUGGCAAAUCAGAUAAUGUAAUUUACAAGCUCAAAGAGAUGGGAAAGAUUGGGAAGAAAGAUAUAUUGCUGAUCUGCGAUUACUUCAGUAAGCUUGAUCGCAACAACUUUGGGAAGAUAACACUACCAGAUCUUUAGGAACCUUGUGACUGCAAGAAUUAUGAAAUCUGUUUCUAUUCUUUAGAUGGAAGAAAUGUAUAGUUACAUUUUUUUUCUUCUUCCAUUGAUACUUGUAAAGGUUUCAAGUCAUAUAGGAGCAAUGAAAAAUAGAAGCCAAUGGGAUAUGUCCCUCUUCUGUUAUAGGUUCUCUUACAGCCAUUAAAUUGAGAGGCUGCUAUGGAGGGUUUGAGUUGUGUGAUGUAGAUUUGACACUGUAAUAAUUCAAGUAGUCAACAAGGAAAGUAAACAAUCUUGGGAUGA